RNAcentral lists this ribosomal RNA (449 nucleotides) under uncultured bacterium. Its description in RNAcentral is "bacterial SSU rRNA". It matches the Rfam family "Bacterial small subunit ribosomal RNA", at positions 352 to 793 of the family's 1533-position model. The record is from RNAcentral.
CAGUAGGGAAUAUUGCACAAUGGGGGAAACCCUGAUGCAGCCAUGCCGCGUGUGUGAAGAAGGCCUUCGGGUUGUAAAGCACUUUCAGUAGGGAGGAAGGUAGUGUAGUUAACACCUGCACUAUUUGACGUUACCUACAGAAGAAGCACCGGCUAACUCCGUGCCAGCAGCCGCGGUAAUACGGAGGGUGCGAGCGUUAAUCGGAAUUACUGGGCGUAAAGCGCAUGCAGGCGGCCUGUUAAGUCAGAUGUGAAAGCCCCGGGGCUUAACCUCGGAAUUGCAUUUGAAACUGGCAGGCUAGAGUCUUGUAGAGGGGGUAGAAUUUCAGGUGUAGCGGUGAAAUGCGUAGAGAUCUGAAGGAAUACCAGUGGCGAAGGCGGCCCCCUGGACAAAGACUGACGCUCAGAUGCGAAAGCGUGGGGAGCAAACAGGAUUAGAUACCCUGGUGG